CUCCAAGUCAAUCACACUUCUGUGAAAUCAAACUGUCCACUUAGGAAGCAAUACUGAGUGACAAUCAAUUUCACAUGCUGUUGCGCAAAUGGGAUAGACAACAUGUGGAAAUUAUAGGCAAUUAGCAAGACACCCCCAAUAAAGGAGUGGUUCUGCAGGUGGUGACCACAGACCACUUCUCAGUUCCUAUGCUUCCUGGCUCAUGUUUUGGUCACUUUUGAAUGCUGGCGGUGCUUUUACUCCAAAUCCAGACCUCCAUGGGUUGAAAAAUUUGAUUUCCAUUUUUUUAUUUUUGUGUGAUUUUGUAAAGAACAAAGUAUUUCAGAAGAAUAUUUAAUUUAUUCAGAUCUAGGAU
Molecule: non-coding RNA, 355 nt
Organism: Pelobates cultripes (western spadefoot toad)
Lineage: Eukaryota; Metazoa; Chordata; Amphibia; Anura; Pelobatidae
Source: the annotation of a GenBank genome assembly